CAUUGUGAGUUUUGAAAUAUUAGAAAAGAAACUUUGAAGACAUGAAAACAACAGUGUUGUGCCAGGGUCCAUUAGCAGAUGCUUUCAAAGAAAAAAAAUGAAUACUCCAAAUAUAUGUUCCACUGCCCCUUUUCAUCAAUUAUAUAUGGAACAAAAAGACUGCUCUUGUGCCAGAGAGCUUAUGCAGUUUAAAGCUAUGUCUCCACCAAUCUACCUCUGCCGCCAGAACUGUGUAGCCACUACCAUCAAGACGAAAGGAUACGUGCACAUCUUCACUCUUCUGGCUGCACUCAGCAGCUGUGCCCCCAAAGCAUGAAAUACAUGCUGAGAGGGUACCAGCUGCUGCAUGGAUGCCUGAAUAUCUACACACUCCUUCUGCUGCGUGGGGGCACAAGCCUUACUUCUCUCAGCGCAGUGAAGUAACUCUGCAGGCAGAGUGGAAGGUUCUGCUACCACGACUGUAGUUAGACUUGUCUCUUGUAUCAAACAAGAUAACAGAUGGGUAAGGAGACAGGACAUCAUGAGAAGAGGUAAGAGACAGUCAGCAUGAGAAGUAAUAGUUUCAGUACACUAGCAGCUGAACCACUGCCAAAGUUUAAGGAGAAGAAUCAGGUGUUUCUGCAAAUGAUUAUGACCUUCUCAAGCAUGAGUGGCAAGAUGAGAAAAGGGAUAAAGAUGCUUGUUUGAAAGUCUACGGCAAAACUGCCUGUUCGCUCUGACCUGAAACAAGGACUUCUUCCAACAAGUCAAUCAAUGGCAAAAGGCAUAGCCGACAUACUUAAAUGCACAAGAGCUCUGGGAAAGACUCCAUGGACAAAUUUGUGUUUUAGCAUCAGAGUACAUGUACACUCAUUACAUGGACACACGGCAUAAAUGAGUGAUCACUGGGCCUGACUACAGGCCCUUCCUCUGUGUGGAUUCAAUAUUUAUAUCUCAGUCCAUGGUAGACAUAGGGAUCUCUGUCUUUUAUUUCUUCCAUGCAGAGACACAUCAUGGAUGCCACUUCUACACAACACAGGACACUUUGUUAUUCCCCUACAAAGUAACCAACCCUUCCAAAUGAGCAAAUUCAAAUGGAUGAACACAGAUCAUACUCAGUGCAGCAGAUCACAACACCUACAGGUAGGCAACCAUGAGGCUUCUUGAGUCAUACGAACUCUUAUCUCCCCUCCAAAAUAGUAUUUAAGAGUUGACUUACUUUCCCAUGGCAGCACAUUCACUGCAAUACGAUGCAUUUUCAUUCCUUUGAGUUAGAUUACAUAGAGGUAUACUAAACUGUAAUAAUUCAUUCCAGAGCCUGAGAGACAUCCCCACGCACCCCACCGCCCACUCCCACCAGAGGGAGAACAGACAGUUCACAGUAACAUGAAGCUAUGUGGAGUCAUGCUAUUUUGACAACUCUUCUGACUCACUGAUUGACUUGACUGUCAGAGAUUUUUCUUCCCAAGGAAGACUAUCCACAUUGCCUCCAGCCUGAGGUGAAUUUCACAAAACUUGGCCCUGUACGUUUCUAAUUCUCUUAAUAGUCUCCAAGGGGCUAUGACAGUAAGUAAAGUAUAUUUCUCAGGACAAGCACCACCAAAUAUAUUUGAACAAAACCCUAUUAAACUGUCAUAUGCUUCAAAAUAAAAAUCUAUUCCUUCCCCUGUUGAUUAGUAAG
Molecule: long non-coding RNA, 1660 nt
Filed under: Crocodylus porosus (Australian saltwater crocodile)
Lineage: Eukaryota; Metazoa; Chordata; Crocodylia; Crocodylidae
Description: lncRNA (ENSCPRG00005014856.1)
Source: RNAcentral